Homo sapiens (human) is the source of this 382-nucleotide long non-coding RNA. RefSeq lists it as uncharacterized. The record is from RefSeq and is a predicted model, not a curated record. Lineage: Eukaryota; Metazoa; Chordata; Mammalia; Primates; Hominidae. The transcript has 3 exons.
GAGUUCAAGAAGAUGGAGAUGAGAGGCAAAACACAGAUGAGAGCAGUCUCAACAGGGUUUGGUGACCGACUACAAUGUGUAUUUCUGGCAGCUGUGAAGGAAUCACUCUGAGCAAGCAGAAGUCCCCACACUCUUACCCUCUGCCUCUUCUGUGGAGAGAAGCGCUGUGGGCCCACCUCCAUCCCAGCUGAAGAAGUGGACUAGCUCCUGGUGGAAGAAGAAAAGAGCCAUGUCUACUUCAGAAGGCUGCUGUCACACAGUGGGAACCCCAGCCAUGCCAGUAAAACCCACGAUCAGUGCCGCUGUAUCCUCAAGGCUGAGCCAUUGAGCCACUGACUCCCCUGAUCCUCCCACCAGAGAUGAAAAGUGACCCAAACACUAA